Molecule: ribosomal RNA, 424 nt
Filed under: Verrucomicrobiota bacterium
Lineage: Bacteria; Pseudomonadati; Verrucomicrobiota
Description: Verrucomicrobia bacterium partial 16S ribosomal RNA
Rfam family: Bacterial small subunit ribosomal RNA
Source: RNAcentral
UGAGGAAUAUUGGUCAAUGGACGAGAGUCUGAACCAGCCAAGUAGCGUGCAGGAUGACGGCCCUAUGGGUUGUAAACUGCUUUUGUUUGGGAAUAAUCGACAUUACGUGUAAUGUUUUGCAUGUACCAUUCGAAUAAGGACCGGCUAAUUCCGUGCCAGCAGCCGCGGUAAUACGGAAGGUCCAGGCGUUAUCCGGAUUUAUUGGGUUUAAAGGGAGCGUAGGCUGUCUAUUAAGCGUGUUGUGAAAUUUACCGGCUCAACCGGUGGCUUGCAGCGCGAACUGGUCGACUUGAGUAUGCAGGAAGUAGGCGGAAUUCAUGGUGUAGCGGUGAAAUGCGUAGAUAUUUGGAGGAACACCGGUGGCGAAGGCGGCUUACUGGACGAAAACUGACGUUGAGGCUCGAAGGCGUGGGGAGCAAACAGG